UACGUAGGGAGCAAGCGUUGUCCGGAAUCAUUGGGCGUAAAGCGCGUGUAGGCGGUUACAUAGGUCUGCUGUGAAAACUCGAGGCUCAACCUCGAGACGUCGGCGGAAACCAUCUGGCUAGAGUCCGGAAGAGGAGAGUGGAAUUCCUGGUGUAGCGGUGAAAUGCGCAGAUAUCAGGAAGAACACCCGUGGCGAAGGCGGCUCUCUGGGACGGUACUGACGCUGAGACGCGAAAGCGUGGGGAGCGAACAGG
RNAcentral lists this ribosomal RNA (253 nucleotides) under uncultured bacterium. RNAcentral's name for it is "partial 16S ribosomal RNA". It matches the Rfam family "Bacterial small subunit ribosomal RNA", at positions 524 to 776 of the family's 1533-position model. The record is from RNAcentral.